CCUACGGGAGGCAGCAGUGGGGAAUAUUGGGCAAUGGGCGCAAGCCUGACCCAGCAACGCCGCGUGAAGGAAGAAGGCUUUCGGGUUGUAAACUUCUUUUAAGAGGGAAGAGAAGAAGACGGUACCUCUUGAAUAAGCCACGGCUAACUACGUGCCAGCAGCCGCGGUAAUACGUAGGUGGCAAGCGUUGUCCGGAUUUACUGGGUGUAAAGGGCGUGCAGCCGGGAAGAAAAGUCAGAUGUGAAAUCCCGCGGCUCAACCGCGGUACUGCAUUUGAAACUGUUUUUCUUGAGUACCGGAGAGGUCAUCGGAAUGCCUUGUGUAGCGGUGAAAUGCGUAGAUAUAAGGAAGAACACCAGUGGCGAAGGCGGAUGACUGGACGGCGACUGACGGUGAGGCGCGAAAGCGUGGGGAGCGAACAGGAUUAGAUACCCCGGUAGUC
This 442-nucleotide ribosomal RNA is filed under the name uncultured bacterium. Its description in RNAcentral is "partial 16S ribosomal RNA". It matches the Rfam family "Bacterial small subunit ribosomal RNA", at positions 338 to 795 of the family's 1533-position model. The record is from RNAcentral.